This is a long non-coding RNA of Herpailurus yagouaroundi (jaguarundi), 536 nucleotides long. RefSeq lists it as uncharacterized. The record is from RefSeq and is a predicted model, not a curated record. The transcript has 3 exons. NCBI's taxonomy places the organism in Eukaryota, Metazoa, Chordata, Mammalia, Carnivora, Felidae.
UCUUUGCUCUCCUGCAGUGAAGCAUGCCCAUGGACGUAGCGGUCAUUUGUUUGGCCUGGGUCUGCGCUCAGAGGGAGGACUUGUGCUUUUAGAGAAGCUCGCCUUCCCUUCCUAACCCAUUUCUAAGGCAGAGAGGCAGUGAGGACCCAGGGAGUCACAAAGACAACCAAAGAGGCAUAGAAAACCAGCAAGGUGGGAACCAGCAAUUCCUAAAUCCAUGGCAACAGCACGUCUCUCAGGCCCUCUGCCUUCUUUUCCCCUCCAUCCCGAGGGCUGGACUGAUAGCAUCCGCCUUAACUCUUCGUGAAAGAUGAGAAAGGAUGCCACAAGUGAGUUCAGUUCUCAUAGAAGGAGAGGGAGAAAGGAGUAUUUAAUACUGAUCAGGUAUAAUCAUACAUUUUUGGUGUUGAGCCAGAUAUACAUGCGGGCAUUUCUGUAGCAAUCUGUAAGAAGCUUUAUAAAUGUAUCUAUUUCAAAAUAAUGAGCUUUAAUGGGGCGCCUGGGUGGCGCAGUCGGUUAGGCGUCCGACUUCAGCC